UGGGACCAAUUAAAGAAGGGAGAGACUGAAGGCAGAGAUCAAUGAGGAAGUGACUAUUUUAGUGCAGGUGAAAGGAAAUAUUCAGACAAAGUGUUCUUUGAAAAUUUGAAGAUAAAAGGACACACUGAUCCUUCUGGUCUGCCUGGCUCGAGCACAGCCCGUGGAAUGUUGAGUUUGUUCGAUGGAAUAAAGACAGCUAAACCAAGCCAAUGGAUAAAAGAAAUUAAAUGGGUCAGAGAGGGAAAACAUGGCGCCCCACCCACAGUCCACCAUCUCUCCUUGAAGUUUUUCAUCAUCAGUCAAGGAAGCCUUUCUCAUUGUCCCCUGCUGUAAUGCUUUCCCAUCAAAGGUUCCAUCUACUCUUUCUGUGGCUUGCAUAGAGCUUAUUUAUUCGUGUUUGGUCUCCCACUCCAGAAUUCAAGCUCCUUGAAGGUAAGGACUGAUUCUGCUUUCUCUUUGUAUCACCAGUGCUUACCACAGGGCCUGGUGCACAGUAAGCCUUUAAUAAGCUUCUCUGGAUUGAUUGAUUGAUUGAUUGAUUGAUCGAUCCAGCAAAACUUUGUUCCAGAUCUCAUGAUCUAUAAUUUUAUGAUUUGAUAAAUGAAUCGGCGUAAUGAGAAGGCAUCUGGAACCAAGUUCGAGCAUUCUCUUCUAGAAAUGAAAAGUGCACAACGGCUGUUCUAGAAUAAUUC
This 692-nucleotide long non-coding RNA is filed under the name Monodelphis domestica (gray short-tailed opossum). RNAcentral's name for it is "lncRNA (ENSMODG00000048869.1)". The record is from RNAcentral. Lineage: Eukaryota; Metazoa; Chordata; Mammalia; Didelphimorphia; Didelphidae.